AAUUAUAUUUUAGUCUUACAUGUGUUCACGGUUUGUUUGGGCGAUUUUACUGUGUGGUGGUUGUACGGACCGAAAAUGUCGGCUGUUAGAAUAUCAGAAAAAGUAAUGAUGGAUGAUUAUUUGAAAAUAGAGAAAAUUGGUGAAGGGACAUAUGGAGUGGUGUAUAAGGGCAGGCACAAGGCCACAGGCCAGGUUGUUGCUAUGAAGAAGAUUCGUCUGGAGAGUGAGGAAGAGGGAGUUCCCAGCACUGCUGUCCGAGAAGUGUCUCUGCUUCAGGAGCUGAAGCAUCCCAAUGUUGUACGACUUCUGGAUGUCCUGAUGCAAGAGUCUCGUCUCUACCUCAUCUUUGAGUUCCUUUCCAUGGACCUGAAGAAGUACCUGGACUCCAUUCCUUCUGGCCAGUACAUGGACCCUAUGUUGGUCAAGAGCUACCUUUAUCAAAUCUUGGAGGGUAUUUACUUCUGCCACUGUCGUCGCAUCCUCCACCGGGACCUAAAACCCCAAAACCUUCUGAUUGACAACAAGGGGGUUAUUAAACUGGCUGAUUUUGGCUUGGCUCGUGCCUUUGGUGUUCCUGUGAGGGUCUACACACAUGAGGUUGUUACGCUCUGGUACCGAGCACCAGAAGUUCUUCUGGGUUCACCCCGAUAUUCAACCCCUGUUGAUGUUUGGAGCACUGGCACCAUUUUUGCUGAACUUGCCACAAAGAAGCCCCUGUUCCACGGAGACUCUGAAAUAGACCAGCUCUUCAGGAUUUUUCGCACUUUGGGAACUCCUAAUAAUGAUGUGUGGCCAGAAGUAGAGAGCCUUCCUGACUACAAAAACACUUUUCCUAAGUGGAAAUCUGGAAAUCUGUCAUCAAUGGUAAAAAACCUGGAUAAGAAUGGCCUUGACCUACUCGCGGGGGCAAUAAAGAGCUGAGCCAACUAUUAAAAAAGCAAAAGAUAACUGGAAGCCUGAUGCUGCUGCUCACCCUAAAACAUUGACCUACAAUCCUCCAAAGAGAAUCUCUGCCCGGGAGGCCAUGACUCACCCAUACUUCGAUGAUUUGGAUAAAUCCACUUUGCCUGCAGCCACCAGCAACAAAGUUUAAAACCCUUGCAGAGUUUACAUACUCAAUGAAUUAUCUGUAAAUACUUGUGUGUAUGUGCAUGUGAGACAUCCUGUUGUAGACCAGAUUAGUGACGUUUCCUUUUAUUGGCGUCUCAAUAAAGCAUUUGUGUGAGAACCUCAAUAA
Molecule: RNA transcript, 1237 nt
Organism: Betta splendens (Siamese fighting fish)
Lineage: Eukaryota; Metazoa; Chordata; Actinopteri; Anabantiformes; Osphronemidae
Gene: cdk1
Gene name: cyclin-dependent kinase 1
Exons: 9
Source: RefSeq, a predicted model, not a curated record